GACAACCCACUCCAGUAUUCUUGCCUGGUGAAUCCUGUGGACAAAAGAGCCUGGCAGGCUACAGACCAUGGGCUCACAAAGAGUCAAACGUGACUGAGUGACUUUCACUUCACUUCACUUCAUCUCCCAUGGAGUGGGUCUGGCCAUUCUGACUCUCUCAGAUGACGCCUGGCUGCAUGCAAGAAACAGUUUAAAUCUCUGAAAGAUGAGCUGUACCCCUAGGAGGAUGUUUUCCCCUAAAGGAUGGAAAGACCGAGGUGGAGUAUGUUCACCAUUUUGAAGAGAGCUGCUUGGACUUCAAUAUCAAGAGGACAGGAAGCCACGUUCAAGGUUCCAUAUCAAAGCAUAUAGAAACCAAGAGCAAUGAAAGACCGAGUUUGACACUUGAAAAAGUUGUUUAGGACCUUGGAUAUUUGAGUAAAUUGCAAACAAAAUAUUCAAGAUAAAUUAGCUGUUCGUUUCAAACUAAACUGUGAUUGAGAUUUGCCAAGAUAUCCAGUUUACCUCUUUGCAUUGUCAUAUAUUGUUUAAUGCUAGGACUCUUUACUGUUAAUGCUUAAGUGUUAAUAUUAAUUACUCAUGUUUUUAUUUUAAAGGCAUAAGUUAGUUGAAAA
Long non-coding RNA from Bubalus bubalis (water buffalo), 614 nucleotides. RefSeq lists it as uncharacterized. NCBI's taxonomy places the organism in Eukaryota, Metazoa, Chordata, Mammalia, Artiodactyla, Bovidae. The transcript is spliced from 3 exons. The record is from RefSeq and is a predicted model, not a curated record.